AGUGAACGCUGGCGGUAUGCCUAACACAUGCAAGUCGAACGGCAACACAGUAAUAUCUUGCUCUUACGGGUGGCCAGUCGCGUACGGGUGAGGAAUACAUCCGAAUCUACUUUUUCGUGUGGGUUAACGUAGGUAAACUUACUCUAAUACCGCAUACGACCUACGGGUGAAAGCAGUGGAUCUUCGCACCUUUCGCGAUUGAAUGAGCCGAUGUGGGAUUAGCUAGUUGGCGGGCUAAAGGCCCACCAAGGCGACGAUCCGUAGCCGGUCUGAGAGGAUGAUAAGCGACAUUGGAAGGGAAACACGGUCAAGGGUACUGCGGGAGGGACCAGAGGGCAACAUUGGACAAUGGGGGGAAGCCUGGUCCAGUCAUACCGAGUGGGUGACGAAAACGUUCGGGUUGUAAAGCCCUUCUGUUGGGAAAGAAAAGCAGCAGGUUAAUACCAAGCUGUUGUGACGGUACCCAAAGAAUAAGCACCGGCUAACUUCGUG
Molecule: ribosomal RNA, 492 nt
Filed under: uncultured bacterium
Lineage: Bacteria
Description: partial 16S ribosomal RNA
Rfam family: Bacterial small subunit ribosomal RNA
Source: RNAcentral